UUCCGGUUGAUCCUGCCGGAGGGACUGGGGGUCGGAUUGAUACUAAGCCAUGCGAGUCAUUGAAGCAAUACAAGGCAUACGGCUCAGUAACGCGUAGUCAACCUACCCUAUGGACGGGAAUAACCUCGGGAAACUGAGUAUAAUGCCCGAUAGAACAUUAUGCCUGGAAUGGUUUAUGUUCCAAAUGAUUUAUCGCCGUAGGAUGGGACUGCGGCCUAUCAGUUUGUUGGUGAGGUAAUGGCCCACCAAGACUAUUACAGGUACGGGCUCUGAGAGGAGUAGCCCGGAGAUGGGUACUGAGACACGGACCCAGGCCCUAUGGGGCGCAGCAGGCGAGAAAACUUUGCAAUGUGCGAAAGCACGACAAGGUUAAUCCGAGUGGUUUCUGCUAAAGGAACCUUUUGUUAGUCCUAAAAACACUAACGAAUAAGGGGUGGGCAAGUUCUGGUGUCAGCCGCCGCGGUAAAACCAGCACCUCAAGUGGUCAGGAUGAUUAUUGGGCCUAAAGCAUCCGUAGCCGGCCCUGUAAGUUUUCGGUUAAAUCUGUAUGCUCAACAUACAGGCCGCCGGGAAUACUGCAGGGCUAGGGAGUGGGAGAGGUAGACGGUACUCGGGAGGAAGUGGUAAAAUGCUUUGAUCUCUCGAUGACCACCUGUGGCGAAGGCGGUCUACCAGAACACGUCCGACGGUGAGGGAUGAAAGCUGGGGGAGCAAACCGGAUUAGAUACCCGGGUAGUCCCAGCCGUAAACUAUGCAAACUCAGUGAUGCAUUGGCUUGUGGCCAAUGCAGUGUUGCAGGGAAGCCGUUAAGUUUGCCGCCUGGGAAGUACGUACGCAAGUAUGAAACUUAAAGGAAUUGGCGGGGGAGCACCACAAGGGGUGAAGCCUGCGGUUCAAUUGGAGUCAACGCCGG
This 913-nucleotide ribosomal RNA is filed under the name uncultured archaeon. RNAcentral describes it as "bacterial SSU rRNA". It matches the Rfam family "Archaeal small subunit ribosomal RNA", at positions 1 to 921 of the family's 1478-position model. The record is from RNAcentral.